AACGCGUCCCGGGCCGGCUCUGCCGUCGUUGCUGCCGCCGGGCGCCCCGGGACGAGGAGGUGGAGGAGGGAGAGGGCCCGCGGGCCUCGCCUCCGCCCUCCGCCCCCUCCCGCCACCUCGAGCUGCGGUAGCAGCGACUCAUGAGAGCGCGGCCGGAGGACAGAUGAGGAAACUGGGACACAGAAAGGUUGAGUAACUUGUUGAAGUUCACCCAGCUAAUUUGAUAAUGGGCUGCAUUAAAAGUAAAGAAAACAAAAGUCCAGCCAUUAAAUACAGACCUGAAAAUACUCCAGAGCCUGUCAGUACAAGUGUGAGCCAUUAUGGAGCAGAACCCACUACAGUGUCACCAUGUCCGUCAUCUUCAGCAAAGGGAACAGCAGUUAAUUUCAGCAGUCUUUCCAUGACACCAUUUGGAGGAUCCUCAGGGGUAACGCCUUUUGGAGGUGCAUCUUCCUCAUUUUCAGUGGUGCCAAGUUCAUAUCCUGCUGGUUUAACAGGUGGUGUUACGAUAUUUGUGGCCUUAUAUGAUUAUGAAGCUAGAACUACAGAAGACCUUUCAUUUAAGAAGGGUGAAAGAU
Molecule: small RNA, 578 nt
Filed under: Pongo abelii (Sumatran orangutan)
Lineage: Eukaryota; Metazoa; Chordata; Mammalia; Primates; Hominidae
Description: processed transcript
Source: RNAcentral